GAUGAACGCUGGCGGCGUGCUUAACACAUGCAAGUCGAGCGAGUGAGUUCUUCGGAACGAUCCGGCGGCGGACGGGUGAGUAACACGUGGGCAACCUGCCUCAUAGAGGGGAAUAGCCUCCCGAAAGGGAGAUUAAUACCGCAUAACAUCGUUGAAGGGCAUCCUUCGAUGAUCAAAGGAGCAAUCCGCUAUGAGAUGGGCCCGCGGCGCAUUAGCUAGUUGGUGAGGUAACGGCUCACCAAGGCGACGAUGCGUAGCCGACCUGAGAGGGUGAUCGGCCACAUUGGGACUGAGACACGGCCCAGACUCCUACGGGAGGCAGCAGUGGGGAAUAUUGCACAAUGGGGGAAACCCUGAUGCAGCAACGCCGCGUGAGUGAUGACGGCCUUCGGGUUGUAAAGCUCUGUCUUUGGGGACGAUAAUGACGGUACCCAAGGAGGAAGUCACGGCUAACUACGUGCCAGCAGCCGCCGUAA
Molecule: ribosomal RNA, 476 nt
Filed under: uncultured bacterium
Lineage: Bacteria
Description: partial 16S ribosomal RNA
Rfam family: Bacterial small subunit ribosomal RNA
Source: RNAcentral